GAGUUUGUGAUGGUCCCCAACAUCUC
RNAcentral lists this non-coding RNA (26 nucleotides) under Rattus norvegicus (Norway rat). The record is from RNAcentral. Lineage: Eukaryota; Metazoa; Chordata; Mammalia; Rodentia; Muridae.